Molecule: long non-coding RNA, 185 nt
Organism: Leopardus geoffroyi (Geoffroy's cat)
Lineage: Eukaryota; Metazoa; Chordata; Mammalia; Carnivora; Felidae
Exons: 2
Source: RefSeq, a predicted model, not a curated record
UUCCCAGCAGAGGAGUUUUCUGACGCAGGCUGGCAGGUUCACAGAGAGACCCUCACUGCAACUGGCUCUGCAUUAACCUGUUUGCAUCAAGAAUUAUGACUUUUGAGGCCUUGUUUCACCUUUGCAACCAAUAGCAGGUGUUUGUACGUGACGUCAGACUCUAUUAAAUUUAAAGUGCACCAGGA